This 73-nucleotide transfer RNA is filed under the name Ailuropoda melanoleuca (giant panda). It matches the Rfam family "tRNA". From Rfam's summary of the family: Transfer RNA (tRNA) molecules are approximately 80 nucleotides in length. Their secondary structure includes four short double-helical elements and three loops (D, anti-codon, and T loops). Lineage: Eukaryota; Metazoa; Chordata; Mammalia; Carnivora; Ursidae. The record is from Rfam by way of RNAcentral.
ACCUGGCUGGCUCACUCCGUGGAGCAUGGGACUCUUGAUCUCGGGGUUGUGAGUUCGAUCCCCAUGUUGGGUG